RNAcentral lists this long non-coding RNA (461 nucleotides) under Papio anubis (olive baboon). Its description in RNAcentral is "lncRNA (ENSPANG00000050462.1)". The record is from RNAcentral. Lineage: Eukaryota; Metazoa; Chordata; Mammalia; Primates; Cercopithecidae.
AUCUAAGAAGAUGACCCUAGCCUGUUACCUCCUGACAACUAAGACGAUGUGGUAGCCCAGAAGAUUGGAAGGAUAUUUAAAUGAACUUCCAACCAGCAGAGCUCAAGAAUGUGAAAGAAGAGACAAAGUAUCAAGCAGGAGGAGUCUUUUCCGAUGGCCUCCCCAGCCACAGACCCAUAUCAAGUGCUACCUGGCUACCACCAAUGACAACUCAAAGCCCAAGAUUUCUUCAGUCUGCUUGUGGUUAAGACUGCCAGGCCUCGGACUCUCCCUGUAGGGCAGUGAUCUCCCCUCUGGCCUUGGGCAAGUCCAGAAAUGCCAUCCAGGAGCCAAGUCCUGGAACUGGGGACUCUAAAAGCUCAUAUAUUACUCUACCCUACUGUUACUGAACUGGUACACAGGCUGCAAGAUGAAGUCCCCUUUACUUUUCCCUCUUCUUUUCUCAACAAGAAGAGUCUUCU